This 421-nucleotide ribosomal RNA is filed under the name bacterium. RNAcentral's name for it is "partial 16S ribosomal RNA". It matches the Rfam family "Bacterial small subunit ribosomal RNA", at positions 355 to 776 of the family's 1533-position model. The record is from RNAcentral. RNAcentral also lists the same sequence under 3 other names.
UGGGGAAUUUUGCACAAUGGGGGGAACCUUGAUGCAGCGACGCCGCGUGAGGGAUGGAGGCCUUCGGGUUGUGAACCUCUUUCGCUCGUGUGCAAGCCGCUAUUUGGGUAGUGGUGAGUGUAGCGGGUAAAGAAGCGCCGGCUAACUACGUGCCAGCAGCCGCGGUAAUACGUAGGGCGCGAGCGUUGUCCGGAUUUAUUGGGCGUAAAGGGCUUGUAGGCGGUUUGUCGCGCCUGUCGUGUAAUCCUCUGGCUUAACUGGGGGUGUGCGGUGGGUACGGGCAGGCUUGAGUGCGGUAGGGGAGAUUGGAAUUCCUGGUGUAGCGGUGGAAUGCGCAGAUAUCAGGAGGAACACCGGUGGCGAAGGCGGGUCUCUGGGCCGUUACUGACGCUGAGGAGCGAAAGCGUGGGGAGCGAACAGG